Molecule: ribosomal RNA, 491 nt
Filed under: uncultured bacterium
Lineage: Bacteria
Description: partial 16S ribosomal RNA
Rfam family: Bacterial small subunit ribosomal RNA
Source: RNAcentral
AGUGAACGCUGGCGGUAGGCCUAACACAUGCAAGUCGAACGGCAGCACAGUAAGAGCUUGCUCUUACGGGUGGCGAGUGGCGGACGGGUGAGGAAUACAUCGGAAUCUACUUUUUCGUGGGGGAUAACGUAGGGAAACUUACGCUAAUACCGCAUACGACCUACGGGUGAAAGCAGGGGAUCUUCGGACCUUGCGCGAUUGAAUGAGCCGAUGUCGGAUUAGCCAGUUGGCGGGGUAAAGGCCCACCAAGGCGACGAUCCGUAGCUGGUCUGAGAGGAUGAUCAGCCACACUGGAACUGAGACACGGUCCAGACUCCUACGGGAGGCAGCAGUGGGGAAUAUUGGACAAUGGGCGCAAGCCUGAUCCAGCCAUACCGCGUGGGUGAAGAAGGCCUUCGGGUUGUAAAGCCCUUUUGUUGGGAAAGAAAAGCAGCAGGUUAAUACCCCGCUGUUCUGACGGUACCCAAAGAAUAAGCACCGGCUAACCUCGU